UACGGAGGGUCCAAGCGUUAUCCGGAAUCAUUGGGUUUAAAGGGUCCGUAGGCGGUUUUGUAAGUCAGUGGUGAAAGCCCAUCGCUCAACGGUGGAACGGCCAUUGAUACUGCAAAACUUGAAUUAUUGGGAAGUAACUAGAAUAUGUAGUGUAGCGGUGAAAUGCUUAGAUAUUACAUGGAAUACCAAUUGCGAAGGCAGGUUACUAUCAAUAUAUUGACGCUGAUGGACGAAAGCGUGGGGAGCGAACAGGA
Molecule: ribosomal RNA, 254 nt
Filed under: uncultured bacterium
Lineage: Bacteria
Description: partial 16S ribosomal RNA
Rfam family: Bacterial small subunit ribosomal RNA
Source: RNAcentral